UUAAACUAGGAUUAGAUACCCUAUUAUUUUUAUUAAAUUUAAAUUUAAUUAAAAUAUUAAAUGUUAAGCAUUAAAAAUAAAAAAUUUGGCGGUAUUUAAUAUUUAGAGGAACUUGUUUAUUAAAUUGAUAGUCCACGAAUGGAAGAACUUAAUAAUUGAUUUUUAUGUAUUGUUGUUGUAAAAUUAUAUUAAUAGAUAAUUAUUGAUAAAUUUAAUAAAAUUAUAAUUCAAAUCAAAAUGUAGAAUAAUUAAGAGUUUAAUGAGUUACAAUUAAUUAGAUAUUUGGAUUUUAAAAUAAUUUAAUUUAUAAAUGAAAAUGGAUUUAAAAGUAAAUUUGUAAAAAUUAUAGAUGAAUAUAGA
Molecule: ribosomal RNA, 360 nt
Filed under: Camponotus sp. MG053
Lineage: Eukaryota; Metazoa; Arthropoda; Insecta; Hymenoptera; Formicidae
Description: partial 12S ribosomal RNA
Source: RNAcentral